UACGAAGGGGGCUAGCGUUGCUCGGAAUUACUGGGCGUAAAGGGCGCGUAGGCGGGUCGUUUAGUUAGAGGUGAAAGCCCGAGGCUCAACCUCGGAACUGCCUUCGAUACUGCGGGUCUCGAGUCCGGGAGAGGUGAGUGGAAUUCCUAGUGUAGAGGUGAAAUUCGUAGAUAUUAGGAAGAACACCAGUGGCGAAGGCGGCUCACUGGCCCGGUACUGACGCUGAGGCGCGAAAGCGUGGGGAGCAAACAGG
RNAcentral lists this ribosomal RNA (253 nucleotides) under uncultured bacterium. Its description in RNAcentral is "partial 16S ribosomal RNA". It matches the Rfam family "Bacterial small subunit ribosomal RNA", at positions 524 to 776 of the family's 1533-position model. The record is from RNAcentral.